RNAcentral lists this ribosomal RNA (620 nucleotides) under uncultured beta proteobacterium. RNAcentral's name for it is "bacterial SSU rRNA". It matches the Rfam family "Bacterial small subunit ribosomal RNA", at positions 29 to 634 of the family's 1533-position model. The record is from RNAcentral. Lineage: Bacteria; Pseudomonadati; Pseudomonadota; Betaproteobacteria.
AUGAACCCUGGCGGAAUGCUUUACACACUGCAAGUUUAACGGCAGCACGGACUUCGGUCUGGUGGCGAGUGGCGAACGGGUGAGUAAUACAUCGGAACGUGCCCAGUCGUGGGGGAUAACGUAGCGAAAGCUACGCUAAUACCGCAUACGAUCUAAGGAUGAAAGCGGGGGAUCGCAAGACCUCGCGCGAUUGGAGCGGCCGAUGGCAGAUUAGGUAGUUGGUAGGGUAAAGGCCUACCAAGCCGACGAUCUGUAGCUGGUCUGAGAGGACGACCAGCCACACUGGGACUGAGACACGGCCCAGACUCCUACGGGAGGCAGCAGUGGGGAAUUUUGGACAAUGGGCGAAAGCCUGAUCCAGCCAUUCCGCGUGCAGGAUGAAGUGCCCUACGGGUCUAGUAAACUGCUUUUGUACGGAACGAAAAGGUCCUGGUUAAUACCUGGGGCUCAUGACGGUACCGUAAGAAUAAGACACCGGCUAACUACGUGCCAGCAGCCGCGGGUAAUACGUAGGGUGCAAGCGUUAAUACGGAAUUACUGGGCGUAAAGCGUGCCCAGGCGGUGAUGUAAGACAGAGGUGAAAAUCCCCCGGGCUCAACUGGGAACUGCCCUUUGUGACU